RNAcentral lists this ribosomal RNA (1006 nucleotides) under Salmonella enterica. Its description in RNAcentral is "partial 23S ribosomal RNA". It matches the Rfam family "Bacterial large subunit ribosomal RNA", at positions 144 to 1190 of the family's 2925-position model. The record is from RNAcentral. Lineage: Bacteria; Pseudomonadati; Pseudomonadota; Gammaproteobacteria; Enterobacterales; Enterobacteriaceae.
CACACUAUCAUUAACUGAAUCCAUAGGUUAAUGAGGCGAACCGGGGGAACUGAAACAUCUAAGUACCCCGAGGAAAAGAAAUCAACCGAGAUUCCCCCAGUAGCGGCGAGCGAACGGGGAGGAGCCCAGAGUCUGAAUCAGCAUGUGUGUUAGUGGAAGCGUCUGGAAAGGCGCGCGAUACAGGGUGACAGCCCCGUACACAAAAGCGCAUAUGCUGUGAGCUCGAUGAGUAGGGCGGGACACGUGGUAUCCUGUCUGAAUAUGGGGGGACCAUCCUCCAAGGCUAAAUACUCCUGACUGACCGAUAGUGAACCAGUACCGUGAGGGAAAGGCGAAAAGAACCCCGGCGAGGGGAGUGAAAAAGAACCUGAAACCGUGUACGUACAAGCAGUGGGAGCACCCUUUGGGGUGUGACUGCGUACCUUUUGUAUAAUGGGUCAGCGACUUAUAUUCUGUAGCAAGGUUAACCGUAUAGGGGAGCCGCAGGGAAACCGAGUCUUAACCGGGCGUUAAGUUGCAGGGUAUAGACCCGAAACCCGGUGAUCUAGCCAUGGGCAGGUUGAAGGUUGGGUAACACUAACUGGAGGACCGAACCGACUAAUGUUGAAAAAUUAGCGGAUGACCUGUGGCUGGGGGUGAAAGGCCAAUCAAACCGGGAGAUAGCUGGUUCUCCCCGAAAGCUAUUUAGGUAGCGCCUCGUGAAUUCAUCUCCGGGGGUAGAGCACUGUUUCGGCUAGGGGGCCAUCCCGGCUUACCAACCCGAUGCAAACUGCGAAUACCGGAGAAUGUUAUCACGGGAGACACACGGCGGGUGCUAACGUCCGUCGUGAAGAGGGAAACAACCCAGACCGCCAGCUAAGGUCCCAAAGUCAUGGUUAAGUGGGAAACGAUGUGGGAAGGCCCAGACAGCCAGGAUGUUGGCUUAGAAGCAGCCAUCAUUUAAAGAAAGCGUAAUAGCUCACUGGUCGAGUCGGCCUGCGCGGAAGAUGUAACGGGGCUAAACCAU